RNAcentral lists this ribosomal RNA (677 nucleotides) under Gemmatimonadota bacterium. RNAcentral describes it as "Gemmatimonadetes bacterium (soil metagenome) partial 23S ribosomal RNA". It matches the Rfam family "Bacterial large subunit ribosomal RNA", at positions 1 to 608 of the family's 2925-position model. The record is from RNAcentral. Lineage: Bacteria; Pseudomonadati; Gemmatimonadota.
AGUAAGCUUUGUUGGUCAAGCUACUAAGGGCGCACGGUGGAUGCCUUGGCACCAGCAGGCGAUGAAGGACGUGGUAAGCUGCGAUAAGCCUCGGGGAGGUGCAAACAACCUUUGAUCCGGGGAUUUCCGAAUGGGGCAACCCAGACGCCGUCAUGGGCGUCUACUCCGCGCUGAAUCCAUAGGCGCGGCAGAGCCAACGGGGAGAACUGAAACAUCUCAGUAUCCCCAGGAAAAGAAAGUACAAACGAUUCCCUGAGUAGCGGCGAGCGAAAGGGGAAGAGCCUAAACCGCACGCGUGUAAGGGCGCAUCCGUUGCCCGUGCGGGGUCGUGGGAUCUACAUCCGGUUCAUGCGUGAACCGGCGGAAGUCACAAAGGUCGGCGCUAGCUGAAUCGCUCUGGAAAGGCGACCCAUAGAGGGUGACAGUCCCGUAAGCGAAAGCGCGCGACCCUUCCGAGUAGACACCCGAGUAACGCCGGACACGAGAAAUCCGGCGUGAAUCUGGGAGGACCAUCUCCUAAGGCUAAAUACUCGCUGGUGACCGAUAGCGAACCAGUACCGUGAGGGAAAGGUGAAAAGCACCGCUGACGCGGAGUGAAAUAGUACCUGAAACCGUGUGCCUACAAGCGGUAGGAGGAGGGCGGGCCUUCGGGUCCGUGCCUCUGACUGCGUGCCUUU